AACGAACGCUGGCGGCAUGCCUAACACAUGCAAGUCGAACGAGACCUUCGGGUCUAGUGGCGCACGGGUGCGUAACGCGUGGGAACCUGCCCUUAGGUUCGGAAUAACUCCCCGAAAGGGGUGCUAAUACCGGAUAAUGUCUUCGGACCAAAGAUUUAUCGCCUUUGGAUGGGCCCGCGUUGGAUUAGCUAGUUGGUAGGGUAAAAGCCUACCAAGGCGACGAUCCAUAGCUGGUCUGAGAGGAUGAUCAGCCACACUGGGACUGAGACACGGCCCAGACUCCUACGGGAGGCAGCAGUGGGGAAUAUUGGAAAAUGGGCGAAAGCCUGAUCCAGCAAUGCCGCGUGAGUGAUGAAGGCCUUAGGGUUGUAAAGCUAUUUUACCCGGGAUGAUAAUGACAGUACCGGGAGAAUAAGCUCCGGCUAACUCCGUG
This 433-nucleotide ribosomal RNA is filed under the name uncultured bacterium. RNAcentral's name for it is "partial 16S ribosomal RNA". It matches the Rfam family "Bacterial small subunit ribosomal RNA", at positions 29 to 507 of the family's 1533-position model. The record is from RNAcentral.